CUCUGGCGAUACUGCCUCGCAAAACGGGGAGGAAGGUGGGGAUGACGUCAAGUCAGCAUGGCCUUUAUAUCUUGGGCUACACACACGCUACAAUGGGUGGCACAAUAGGUUGCAACAGCGCGAGCUGAAGCUAAUCCCCAAAGCCAUCCUCAGUACAGAUUGCAGGCUGAAACCCGCCUGCAUGAAGUCGGAGUUGCUAGUAACCGCAAAUCAGCAUGUUGCGGUGAAUACGUUCUCGGGCCUU
RNAcentral lists this ribosomal RNA (244 nucleotides) under uncultured Chloroflexota bacterium. RNAcentral's name for it is "uncultured Chloroflexi bacterium partial 16S ribosomal RNA". It matches the Rfam family "Bacterial small subunit ribosomal RNA", at positions 1138 to 1382 of the family's 1533-position model. Lineage: Bacteria; Bacillati; Chloroflexota. The record is from RNAcentral.